GCAGCCGUGGCCUACUGGUUAGGGUUUCGGCUUGUAACCGAAGGGUUGCCUGUUCGAUCCCCGACCAGUAGGA
Molecule: transfer RNA, 73 nt
Filed under: Alosa alosa (allis shad)
Lineage: Eukaryota; Metazoa; Chordata; Actinopteri; Clupeiformes; Clupeidae
Description: tRNA-OTHER
Source: RNAcentral